This 320-nucleotide long non-coding RNA is filed under the name Chinchilla lanigera (long-tailed chinchilla). RNAcentral describes it as "lncRNA (ENSCLAG00000024065.1)". Lineage: Eukaryota; Metazoa; Chordata; Mammalia; Rodentia; Chinchillidae. The record is from RNAcentral.
AUGGUAAUCUUCAUUCAGUUUUCCCACACUGGAAGUCUUCUGUGUGCCGCUGCUCCUAUAAUGAGGACACAGGUACAGCAUUUGAGAAGGGCGGAAGCUGCACUGACUGUGUGUGGAGAAUGCCAAAGACCUGCUCGUGCGAGGGAGAAGACUAAAUUGCUUACUGUGAUGAGAGAAACAUGGGUUUCAAAUGCCUCUGUAAUAUCUAUUUCUUGGCCAACAUUCAGAAAGUAUACCUCUAUAAUAGUUAAGAGAAACAGGAACUUCUGACGAGGAUGUGAUAUGUCACAGUCCAACUAAAUAUAUGCCAUGCAAAAAUU